ACCCGCAUACGCAGACGCCGUGUCGUAUUGGUGCUGAGCGGUGAAGUUUUUCACUUUUCUAGGUUCUUCUCCUGAAUCCGAGGUUGAGAAGAAUCGCAUGUUCUUUGUUACGGUUGGUUUCCCAAGAACGAAUCUUUAAGACCACUUGUCUCUGCAUCCUUACCUGCGAUGGAUUACAGCGGAGGGCGGAAUCUGCUUAAUCAGUUUGCGGACAAAACUCCUCAAAAUCAGGCCAUGGAAAAUAGAGAGAGUAAUCAGAUUGUUAAUACCUGGAAGCCGCUUGGGUUUGAUGAGAAGCAGGCGGCAGUUCACAAGGAGAUGAAGAGAAUGAAUCAGUUGCCUGCAAAUAGCACAUAUGCAACUCAUCGCCUGAAGGUUCUCAACAAGUUAUUGCAACUAAUGACAAUUCAGAGAACGGCAUCACAAGAUGAGGAGCUGGAACUGCUUUUUGCUAGCUUGUCUCUGUGAUGGAAUUUCCUGGGACUGGUUAGUGCUAAUCAGUUUGAUGCUAAACUCUCGGAUUUGACUCAAAACAGGUGCUGAGUUCCUAUGGUCCCACAUGAUCAGCACUGUAAAUAUGUUAAAUAGGCAUUUCCAGAAGUGUCCGGUUAAGCUGGUUGCAGCAUGUGCACUGAUUUGCUGAGGAACUUCCUUGCCUUCUUUUCUCCAUGUAUCCAUCGGCAAAACUAAUCAGCUGGCAAUGGAAUGGGAAAUGUUACUCUACCUCUUAACCAUAUCGGAAGGGAUGCUUUUCUCUGCGUUUGUAUCUAAUCCUUUUGGAGUUAGCCCACUGCUCCUUGUACGUUUUGGAGUCGAGCGCAUUUUGUGCAAUAGGCAUGGUGUUCGGGUUAUAUAUGACGUGUUUUUUAGAUCACUCCUUGACAUUUUGACUCCUAUACAAGCUGCCAGCUGCUGUCUUUGCGUUGUAUUUCAUCUCAUGCCUCAUGGAGCUAUUGACAAUAGUGGGUUUCCUGAAAUGAGAUUUUGUGUUAAUA
RNA transcript from Syzygium oleosum, 995 nucleotides. RefSeq lists it as uncharacterized. The record is from RefSeq and is a predicted model, not a curated record. The transcript is spliced from 4 exons. Lineage: Eukaryota; Viridiplantae; Streptophyta; Magnoliopsida; Myrtales; Myrtaceae.